GCAAGUCGAGCGGAUCGAUGGGAGCUUGCUCCCUGAGAUCAGCGGCGGACGGGUGAGUAACACGUGGGUAACCUGCCUGUAAGACUGGGAUAACUCCGGGAAACCGGGGCUAAUACCGGAUAAUUUAGUUCCUCGCAUGAGGAACUGUUGAAAGGUGGCUUUUCGCUACCACUUACAGAUGGACCCGCGGCGCAUUACCUAGUUGGUGAGGUAACGGCUCACCAAGGCAACGAUGCGUAGCCAACCUGAAAGGGUGAUCGGCCACACUGGGACUGAAACACGGCCCAAACUCCUACGGGAGGCAGCAGUAGGGAAUCUUCCGCAAUGGACGAAAGUCUGACGGAGCAACGCCGCGUGAGUGAAAAAGGUUUUCGGAUCGUAAAACUCUGUUGUUAGGGAAAAACAAGUGCCGUUCGAAUAGGGCGGCACCUUGACGGUACCUAACCAAAAAGCCACGGCUAACUACGGCCAGCAGCCGCGGUAAUACGUAGGUGGCAAGCGUUGUCCGGAAUUAUUGGGCGUAAAGCGCGCGCAGGUGGUUUCUUAAGUCUGAUGUGAAAGCCCACGGCUCAACCGUGGAGGGUCAUUGGAAACUGGGGAACUUGAGUGCAGAAAAGGAAAGUGGAAUUCCAAGUGUAGCGGUGAAAUGCGUAGAUAUUUGGAGGAACACCAGUGGCGAAGGCGACUUUCUGGUCUGUAACUGACACUGAGGCGCGAAAGCGUGGGGAGCAAACAGGAUUAGAUACCCUGGUAGUCCACGCCGUAAACGAUGAGUGCUAAGUGUUAGAGGGUUUCCGCCCUUUAGUGCUGCAGCUAACGCAUUAAGCACUCCGCCUGGGGAGUACGGUCGCAAGACUGAAACUCAAAGGAAUUGACGGGGGCC
RNAcentral lists this ribosomal RNA (883 nucleotides) under Rossellomorea aquimaris. Its description in RNAcentral is "bacterial SSU rRNA". It matches the Rfam family "Bacterial small subunit ribosomal RNA", at positions 57 to 921 of the family's 1533-position model. The record is from RNAcentral. Lineage: Bacteria; Bacillati; Bacillota; Bacilli; Caryophanales; Bacillaceae.